Molecule: long non-coding RNA, 4815 nt
Organism: Xiphophorus couchianus (Monterrey platyfish)
Lineage: Eukaryota; Metazoa; Chordata; Actinopteri; Cyprinodontiformes; Poeciliidae
Exons: 2
Source: RefSeq, a predicted model, not a curated record
CACCGAUACGCGCAUGCGCAUGCAAGCAGCGACGGAACAGUGAACGGUGUGUGAGCGCAACCGCGUGGCCAACAGGUGGAACUGAAAGUUAAGAAAAACUUAAAGUUGUGCGCCAUUUUGACUCCAUCGCCUGAAGCUGCUUACGAUGGAGGAUCAAUUCUAAGCACUGAAAUCCAGUUUCUGUUUGCUGAGUCAGUAGCUGACUGGGCGACUGCAGGACCUGCUGCCUCUGAAGUGGGUUCUAGUGGCUGUUGAGGUGGUUCUCAGACACGUACAGGAUGGAAUAAAUAAUCAAACGAUAUUUCAGAGUUAUUUAAGUCAAUUAAUGCAGAAAACUAUUUCCAUCAUAUUCAUAAAAAUAGAUUUGUUGCGUGUGUUAGGUUGGGAUAUUUUAGAAACGUAAGCUUAGGAUUUUUCAAAGAUUUCUCAGGUUGUCCACUAGAUGGCGACAUUCUUUUGAUUAUCUAGUAUACAGCAGAGGACAAAUCACUAUACAAAGAGUUCGUUACUGAUCAUAGAUCUUUCAUCAGUGCAACCAAGACUUGCGUAGAAACUGAAUCUAAACAUUGAAAUAUAUUUUGCUCCUCUAGGGUUUAUUUAGAAAAUAAUUUCAUCUGUAGGAUUAAUUGUACUGCAAGAUACAGCGCUGUGAAAAAGCGUUUGCCAUCCCAGAUUUAUUUUGUUUACUAGUGGUUUUGGCUUUGGAGUUCUCCUGUGGUGGCCAUUUUUGUUCAGCUUCUUUUUUAUUGUUAAACCUUUAACAACACAUGCAAGAGAGGUAUGUGGCACUUUAGAUGUUGUUUUGGGUUCUUUUGUGACUUUCUGGUUGAAUACUCAAUACAUUUUGAGUGAUUUUGAUUGACUAACCUGUCUUGGGAACCCCCACUGCUUGUGUAUGUUUUUUUGCCCUUGUGGGCUAUAGCUUAAACUUUUCUUAAUCACAGUUAAUUCAUACAAAAAAGGAGACAAACAGACUGCCAAAGUGAAAAAAGAUGCUAAGAGACAAACAAGUUAUACAAGACUGAAACAGUCAAAAUCCCCAACCAAUAACGGAUUUCCUUAUUUCUAUUCUGUGUACAUAAUCUGUUUGACCUGGUACGUGCCAAGGUAAACAAUCCAUACCCUUUCAUGUUUUGUCACGUUACCACCUGCAAACUGUGAUACAUUUAAAUGGGAAUUUACACGACCGAACAACACAAACUGUUAAAAUGAAGAAAAUUUUGAUAAGGCUUUCAAAAAUGUUAAAAAAUACAAUCUGGAAACUGCAGUCACUAACAAAAUUGCUCUAUUUAGACCUUAGUCCUUCCUCCCAUCAAUCCCGACUGGCUUCAGUGUGUCUGCUGAAAAACUGGAUCCCCAAAGAAGGAUGUUUAUGUUUUGUACUCUAACCCUGCUUUAAAGUUCCCAUUAACUGUAUUCUUAGUCUUUUGACUGGGUUCCUUUCCAUGAUGCAGUUUGGUCCCUAAUGUUCUCUAAUAUCUGAUGCCCUCAUAGUACAGCUAUUUGUUUCGACCAUAAAUUACACAUAGCUGGUUUUUGUUACUGAUAAAUAAAAUUACUUACUUAUUUCAUUUAGAAAUAAUGACAUGCUUAGUUAAAACAUAACUGCUUUAACCUGAACAAAGUACUUAAGAAAACAUUAAGCAAAAAAAAAAAAAAGACACACAUGAAGAUUAACAAAAACUUUUGUAAGUUUCAUCAGCUAGGUCAACUAGCUGCCAUGCCAACUAGAACCUAGUUGGCAUGUUUACUUGUAAUGUAAUGUUUAUUAUUAAUAUUUUAACAUGAAAUCUGAAGUGAAUUUAUUCAAGCCAAAUAGUUGUAAAAAUCACUAAAUGCUAGUUUAACAGUGAAUGGGCUUCUCCGAAAUUAAACUCCGAAAUUCAACAAUAGACCUGUUUAUUUUUUUUAACUAGUUCAAUUGCUUACCAUCCUGUGCAUAAAAUAAGAUGUAAAACCUAAAAACAAAGUACAAUUAAUUUCUCUAAAAAACAUGCACUACUUCUGUUAUGCAGUUAAAAGUAAAAACUCAAAUCUAGGUUUCCUUUGAAACACUGAAACAUAUCAAUACUAACAAUUUUUAUAUAUUUUCAGCUACAUGUAUAUGCUUGUACAUUCAAAGAAUUAUUAGGAAAAUGUUAUCAAAUUAUUGCAUCUCUCCUUAUUUUUAAUUGAAUUGAAUGAAGAAGCAAUUGAUGACUGAUGACAGAGACAGAAAUAGUGGCACACCCUUUGAUCUUACCUUUGAUCCUGGCAGAGCAGUGCUAAGUUCAACUUGAUCUGAGCUCUCAGUAGUUCCGGAUGUACAUUUGAGAAGCACCAUAUCACAGUGACAAAUUGAUAAAAAAGUAUGAGACAAACCUGUUUGUUAAGUGAUCCACUGAGUUUCUGUUCUGUGAUCCUAAAUAAGACAAACUCUAGAAAAGGUGAAGGAAAGAAAAAAACCGAGCUGCACUGCUUUAGUCUAUGAAGAUGUUUAUGAAAUAGUGUUGCAUCAAACAAAUCGCAUCGAGGAUCAGAAUUAAAUCCCUAACACAUAUAAAAAAUGAAAAACACAGAACAAAACUGAUGCAUAUUCCGUUAAGAACUGUUAGUGGUAAAUAACCAAAUUCAUUCUCAUUCAGAAGGCCUUACUGCAAUUAAAGACUGUUUCUAUUCAAAAUGUCCAUACUUUUCCAUACUCAAAUUUCGAAAUUUCCCAAUUCAUUUCAUUCCAUAACUAUAAAAGGUCACUAUGACCAUUACAGUGGUCAGGCUUUAAAUAAUUAAUCAGAUUAAAAAAGCAAACAAACAUGGAUAGGUGGAUGGAUGGAUGGAUGGAUGGAUGGAUGGAUAGGUGGAUGGAUGGAUGGAUGGAUGGAUGGAUGGAUGGACGGACGGAAAAAAGUCUAAAAAUACUGAUUGGUGAAAAAAGCACUGUGUAUGAUGCUUACAGGAGCUGUUGGAAAACAAUAUUUGUUCAUCAUUUGGAAAAAAUACAUGAUUCAAAUAUUGUUUCUAUAAAUUACAGAACUUGACAUUUCAUAAUAUUUUGUUGUUUUUACUUUUAAUUGAAUUCAACAAAAAACUACCUGCCUCUAACAAUCCUACUGUGAAAAAAAGAAAAGAACAAAAAACAAUAUAAAUCUUCUGGCUGACCAAAUUUUGUUCCCAUCUAGCAAUAUUCUCUGUUUUUCUUCACCAUUUUCACUGCUGUCUGUGGCAACAAAAGGAAGACAGGCAGUCUUUACAAAACAUGGCAAACAUGAGGUGCUCAGAGUGAGACGCCCAUUCCCAGUGGACCCUGAGUUCACACGCACCAUCACAUGAUUUCUGACCAAUCCCCAGUGAUUUUCACUGGGACUGGGCUGUACUGGGCUGGACCCCCCACAUUAGCGGUUGUGUCAGUCAUAACACACAGCAGGGUUGGCGUGACAAAAAAUGAGAAACAUCCUACAUACCUGAACACCUGCACCUGUAUACAAAGAUCCUGUGGUGAGAGAUUUGGAGGGACUACACUUAAAGAGAGGCAUGGCUUCCAGUCACUCACUGAAGUGCAGUUCCACAUUUUUGCAGUAUUACAACCACAAAUGUAUCACUAUAUUUUAUUGAGAUUUUUUUUAUGACAGACUGAUAGAAAGUGGUAGACAACCACGAGGAGUAUUUCAGGUACAUUUGUAUUUAAUCCCCAUAUGAGCCAAUACACAGUAAAAAACUCUCUGGCUUUAAUAACAGCUGUAAGUCUUCUAAGGUAUGUCUCUACCAGUUUUGCACAAGAUAAGACUGAAAUUUUUUAGCAUUCCUUUUUGCAAAGUCAAGCUCAGUCUGAGUUGAUGGAGAGCAUCUGCAAACAGAAAUUUUCAACUCUUGUCACAGAUUCUAUUAGAUUAGGCCUAGACUUUGACUUGACCAUUCUAACAUAAAUACGCGUUAAUUUAAACAAUUCUGUUGUAUCUUUGGUAGUAUGCUAAAGGUCACUGUCCACCUUUCUCGUCUUUUGCAACCUAUAACAGGUCUUCUUCCAGGACUUCUUCCAGCAUUGGCCUAUAUUGAGCUACAUUGAUCUUCCAAUUAACUCUGACUAAUUUUCUUGUCCCUUCUGAAGAGAAGUAUCCUCCUAACAUCAUACACCAUGGGUAUGAUAGGGUCACGGUGAUGGACAGUGUUCCCACACAUCCAGAAUUCUGCAUGUAAGCCAUAAAGUUACAUUUUGGUCUCAACUGAUCAAACACCUUCUUUCACAUGGUUGUUGUAUCUCCAUGGUGGCUCAAGGAAAACUUUGAAUGGGUCUUGACCUUCUUCCAUAAAAGCUAGACUAGUGGAGCGCAAAACUAAUAGCAGUCCUAUAGACAGAUUUUCCCAUUAGAGCAGUGAACUUCAACUUAGUUACUCAAGGUCUCUUGACUGUUUUUUUAAAUUAAGUCUUUCCUUGUCACUCAUCAUUUUGCAAGAAUGGCCAUGUUGUGUUACAUAAGGUUUGGCAUAUUGGUUUAAACUUUUACAUAACAGCUAAUAAAAAUAUAAAAUGUAAAGUUACAAAAUGUGUCAUUAUUUUUAACCUUUACAACAAUGUAUUACUUUGUGUCAUUCCAUCUGUCAUGAUUUGAGUUUCUCUUUGGUCAGUUUAAUUAAUUUAGUCCUUGUGUUGUUCCUGUUCUCCGUUACUUGAUUAUCUCCUCGUGUAUUUCAGUUCACCUGUUCUUCCUAUGCUUGUUGGUUCCUGCUUGUUGGAAUGAUGUUGUUUGCUUUCUGGUCGCUCUGCUGAGCCCAUUCGAGUUCUCAGUUUUUGUUGUGGAGUUGUGGUUCUACCAUUAAAGAGAACCUUUUCCCAUCUUA